GUAGGUGGCAAGCGUUGUCCGGAAUUAUUGGGCGUAAAGCGCGCGCAGGUGGUUCUUUAAGUCUGAUGUGAAAGCCCCCGGCUCAACCGGGGAGGGUCAUUGGAAACUGGGGAACUUGAGUGCAGGAGAGGAAAGUGGAAUUCCACGUGUAGCGGUGAAAUGCGUAGAUAUGUGGAGGAACACCAGUGGCGAAGGCGACUUUCUGGCCUGUAACUGACACUGAGGCGCGAAAGCGUGGGGAGCAAACAGGAUUAGAUACCCUGCUAGUCCACGCCGUAAACGAUGAGUGCUAAGUGUUGGGGGGGUUUCCCGCCCCUCAGUGCUGCAGCUAACGCAUUAAGCACUCCGCCUGGGGAGUACGGUCGCAAGACUG
RNAcentral lists this ribosomal RNA (373 nucleotides) under uncultured organism. RNAcentral describes it as "partial 16S ribosomal RNA". It matches the Rfam family "Bacterial small subunit ribosomal RNA", at positions 527 to 896 of the family's 1533-position model. The record is from RNAcentral.